AACGCACCUUGCGCUCCUUGGUAUUCCGAGGAGCAUGCCUGUUUGAGUGUCUCGAAGUCAUCGACCCGUCCCGUUUCGCGCGGGGCCCCUCGGGUUGGAGCUGGGGGCAUGCUGCCGACAAGGCCGCUCCCCUCAAAUGCGUCGGUCGGGCCUGUGGGUCGGACUCGCCAGGGCGUUGUACCAUCCUCGCUCCCCGCGUGUCCGUCCCGCUCCUUUCGGAGCCUCGGCCCGCACGCCGUCGCGGUCGCGGCCAACAUUGUUUGAAAUCUGACCUCAAAUCAGGUAGGACUACCCGCUGAACUUAA
RNAcentral lists this unclassified non-coding RNA (305 nucleotides) under uncultured fungus. RNAcentral's name for it is "partial contains 5.8S ribosomal RNA, internal transcribed spacer 2, and large subunit ribosomal RNA". The stretch from base 1 to 52 matches the Rfam family "5.8S ribosomal RNA", at positions 103 to 154 of the family's 154-position model. The record is from RNAcentral. Lineage: Eukaryota; Fungi.